RNAcentral lists this ribosomal RNA (254 nucleotides) under uncultured bacterium. RNAcentral's name for it is "partial 16S ribosomal RNA". It matches the Rfam family "Bacterial small subunit ribosomal RNA", at positions 524 to 776 of the family's 1533-position model. The record is from RNAcentral.
GACGUAGGGCGCGAGCGUUGUCCGGAUUUAUUGGGCGUAAAGAGCUCGUAGGCGGUCUGUCGCGUCGGCUGUGAAAACUCGGGGCUCAACUCCGAGCUUGCAGUCGAUACGGGCAGGCUAGAGUUCGGCAGGGGGAGACUGGAAUUCCUGGUGUAGCGGUGAAAUGCGCAGAUAUCAGGAGGAACACCGGUGGCGAAGGCGGGUCUCUGGGCCGAUACUGACGCUGAGGAGCGAAAGCGUGGGGAGCGAACAGG